RNAcentral lists this transfer RNA (89 nucleotides) under bacterium. RNAcentral's name for it is "tRNA-Ser". It matches the Rfam family "tRNA". From Rfam's summary of the family: Transfer RNA (tRNA) molecules are approximately 80 nucleotides in length. Their secondary structure includes four short double-helical elements and three loops (D, anti-codon, and T loops). The record is from RNAcentral. RNAcentral also lists the same sequence under 3 other names.
GGAGAGAUGGCAGAGUGGUCUAUUGCGCACGCCUGGAAAGCGUGUGUUGUUAAAAGCAACCGAGAGUUCGAAUCUCUCUCUCUCCGCCA